Non-coding RNA from Arabidopsis thaliana (thale cress), 119 nucleotides. Lineage: Eukaryota; Viridiplantae; Streptophyta; Magnoliopsida; Brassicales; Brassicaceae. The record is from Rfam.
ACAUGCGAUCAAACCAGCACUAAUGCACCGUAUCCCAUCAGAACUCCGUAGUUAAGGGUGCUUGGGCGAGUGUAGUACUCGGAUGGGUUACCUCUCAGAAAGUCCUCGUCUUAAAUCCC